This is a non-coding RNA of Arabidopsis thaliana (thale cress), 75 nucleotides long. The record is from RefSeq. NCBI's taxonomy places the organism in Eukaryota, Viridiplantae, Streptophyta, Magnoliopsida, Brassicales, Brassicaceae.
CAUCUUUGAGAUUUUACACAGUAGUCAUGGAGUUUUUGGAAGAGAGAAAGUGGAGAUGUGGAGAUCGUGGGGAUG